This 3479-nucleotide ribosomal RNA is filed under the name human oral metagenome. Its description in RNAcentral is "bacterial LSU rRNA". It matches the Rfam family "Bacterial large subunit ribosomal RNA". The record is from RNAcentral.
CUAAGAGCGAACGGUGGAUGCCUUGGCUAGUAGAGGCGAUGAAAGACGUGCCAGACUGCGAUAAGUCUCGGGGAGCCGUCAAGGGGCUUUGAUCCGGGAAUUUCUGAAUGGGGCAACCCAAUACAUAGCGAUAUGUGUUACCAUUAAUGGAGCCAACGCGGGGAACUGAAACAUCUAAGUACCCGCAGGAAGAGAAAUCAAUAGAGAUUACGCUAGUAGCGGCGAGCGAACGCGUAAGAGGGCAAACCACUAGUUUACUAGUGGGGUUGUAGGACCGCAACAUAGACUAGGAUCUGAUAAUAGAACAAUCUGGAAAGGUUAGGCAUAGAGGGUGAUACUCCCGUAUAUGAAAUCACAUCCUUACUUAGCGGUAUCCUGAGUAGGACGGGACACGUGAAAUCCUGUCUGAAGCCGGGUCGACCACGAUCCAACCCUAAAUACUACUACUAGACCGAUAGCGUACAAGUACCGUGAGGGAAAGGUGAAAAGAACGGCGGUGAGCCGAGUGAAAUAGAACCUGAAACCGUUUGCUUACAAUCAUUCAGAGCACUAUGUGGGUCUGUUUGAAUAUUAAGGACGGCUUGUCUUUUGGCGAUAAAUUAAUGAGUUCGAUUUUUUCUCAAUCGAUAGGCUAAAAGCCUUAUCUCAAUCGAAAAAAUCUUCACAACAUUAAUUUCUCAUCCAAAAUACCGCGCCUUUAGGCGGGUAUAUCUUGUUUUUACAAUUUUUUUAUAAAUCAUCGGAUUAAAUUUGAAAUUUUAAAAGUAAAAAGAGGUAAAACUUCUAGAAUCAGAAUUUCAAACCGUAGAUUAAAUUUAAAUAGAUCAAAUUUAAAAUUUAAAUCAAACAAGAUAAGACGAUCCAAGAUUAGUAUUGAAACAGAUCCACAGUGUGAUGGACUGCCUUUUGCAUAAUGAGCCUGCGAGUUGUGGUGUCUGGCGAGGUUAAGGAAACCCGGAGCCGUAGCGAAAGCGAGUCUUAAUAGGGCGAUUAGUCAGAUGCUGCAGACCCGAAACGAUGUGAUCUAUCCAUGAGCAGGUUGAAGCCGGUGUAAGAGCCGGUGGAGGACCCAACCGACGGCCGUUGAAAAGGCUCCGGAUGACUUGUGGAUAGGGGUGAAAGGCCAAUCAAACAUCGUGAUAGCUGGUUCUCUCCGAAAUAUAUUGAGGUAUAGCGUCGUGUAGUAGUUAUAAGGGGUAGAGCACUGAAUGGGCUAGGGCAUACACCAAUGUACCAAACCCUAUCAAACUCCGAAUACUUAUAGCGUAACCACGGCAGUCAGGCGGCGAGUGAUAAAAUCCGUCGUCAAGAGGGAAACAACCCGGACUAACAGCUAAGGUCCCCAAAUCUCAUUUAAGUGGAAAACGAUGUGAAGUUACUGAAACAACCAGGAGGUUGGCUUAGAAGCAGCCAUCCUUUAAAGAUAGCGUAAUAGCUCACUGGUCUAGUGAUUUUGCGCGGAAAAUAUAACGGGGCUAAAAUGAGUACCGAAGCUUUAGAUAGUGUCUAUGAUUAUUUAUACUAGCUUGUCUCUUUGGCAUCUUUAAAUGAGCUUCAUUUUUUCUCCUGCGGCAACCUACACCGGUUAGCCUUAGUCGAAAAAAUAUCAGCAACAUUUAAAUAUGCGCAAAGAUACUUCGCUUUCUGCAUUCAAAUUUGAAUGCAAGGUCUUAAUCUAAAUUUUAUAAAUUUCAAAUUUCUUAGAAUUUUAAAAUUUAGCAACAAAAAGCAAAAAGACAAGCCUAAGUAAAGUAUAAAUACUCAUAGACACUGUGGUAGGAGAGCGUUCCAAUAAGCGUCGAAGCCGUACCGGUAAGGAGCGGUGGAGCGGUUGGAAGUGAGCAUGCAGGCAUGAGUAGCGAUAAAAUACGUGAGAAUCGUAUUCGCCGUAAACCCAAGGUUUCCUACGCGAUGCUCGUCAUCGUAGGGUUAGUCGGGUCCUAAGCAAAGUCCGAAAGGGGUAUGCGAUGGAAAAUCGGUUAAUAUUCCGAUACCGAUAUCAGUGUGCGACGGAAGGACGCUUAAAGUUAGUGGAGCUAGCGGAUGGAAGUGCUAGUCUAAGGAAGUAGGUUGAGUUAUAGGCAAAUCCGUAACUCUUUAUCCGAGAUCUGAAAGGCUUCUGACGCUCUUCGGAGUAGAUGAAGAAUCCAUGAUACUAUCGAGCCGAGAAAAGUUUCUAAGUUUAGCUGAUAUCGCCCGUACCGUAAACCGACACAGGUGGGUGGGAUGAGUAUUCUAAGGCGCGUGGAAGAACUCUCUUUAAGGAACUCUGCAAAAUAGCACCGUAUCUUCGGUAUAAGGUGUGCCUAGCUUCGUUAAGAAUUUACUUCGUAAGCGAAGAAGGUUACAACAAAGAGUCCCUCCCGACUGUUUACCAUAAACACAGCACUCUGCUAACUCGUAAGAGGAUGUAUAGGGUGUGACGCCUGCCCGGUGCUCGAAGGUUAAUUGAUGACGUUAGCUUACGCAAAGCGUCUGAUCGAAGCCCGAGUAAACGGCGGCCGUAACUAUAACGGUCCUAAGGUAGCGAAAUUCCUUGUCGGUUAAAUACCGACCUGCAUGAAUGGCGUAACGAGAUGGGAGCUGUCUCAAAGAGGGAUCCAGUGAAAUUGUAGUGGAGGUGAAAAUUCCUCCUACCCGCGGCAAGACGGAAAGACCCCGUGGACCUUUACUAUAGCUUGACACUGCUACUUGGAUAAAGAUGCGCAGGAUAGGUGGGAGGCUUUGAGUCGUAGAUCUUGGUUUACGAUGAGCCAUUGUUGAGAUACCACUCUUCUUUAUUCGGGUAGCUAACUAGCCUAAGUUAUCCUUAGGUAGGACAAUGUCUGGUGGGUAGUUUGACUGGGGCGGUCGCCUCCCAAAAUGUAACGGAGGCUUACAAAGGUUGGCUCAAAGCGGUUGGAAAUCGCUUGUAGAGUAUAAAGGCAAAAGCCAGCUUAACUGCGAGACAUACACGUCGAGCAGAGACGAAAGUCGGUCUUAGUGAUCCGGUGGUUCUGUGUGGAAGGGCCAUCGCUCAAAGGAUAAAAGGUACCCCGGGGAUAACAGGCUGAUCUCCCCCAAGAGCUCACAUCGACGGGGAGGUUUGGCACCUCGAUGUCGGCUCAUCGCAUCCUGGGGCUGGAGCAGGUCCCAAGGGUAUGGCUGUUCGCCAUUUAAAGCGGUACGCGAGCUGGGUUCAGAACGUCGUGAGACAGUUCGGUCCCUAUCUGCCGUGGGCGUAAGAAGAUUGAGGAGAGUUGACCCUAGUACGAGAGGACCGGGUUGAACUGACCACUGGUGUACCGGUUGUUCUGCCAAGAGCACCGCCGGGUAGCUAAGUCGGGAUGUGAUAAGAGCUGAAAGCAUCUAAGCUCGAAGCCGACUCCAAGAUGAAUCUUCUUUUAAGAGCUCUAGUAGACUACUAGUUUGAUAGGCCGGAUGUGUAAUGGAUGAAAGUCCUUUAGCUGACCGGUACUAAUAGCUCGUUUGCUUAUCUU